GGUCUGUAGCUCAGAUGGUUAGAGCGCACCCCUGAUAAGGGUGAGGUCGGAAGUUCAACUCUUCCCAGACCCACCACUUUC
This 81-nucleotide transfer RNA is filed under the name uncultured Chromatiales bacterium. RNAcentral's name for it is "tRNA-Ile". It matches the Rfam family "tRNA". Rfam says of the family: Transfer RNA (tRNA) molecules are approximately 80 nucleotides in length. Their secondary structure includes four short double-helical elements and three loops (D, anti-codon, and T loops). Further hydrogen bonds mediate the characteristic L-shaped molecular structure. tRNAs have two regions of fundamental functional importance: the anti-codon, which is responsible for specific mRNA codon recognition, and the 3' end, to which the tRNAs corresponding amino acid is attached (by aminoacyl-tRNA synthetases). tRNAs cope with the degeneracy of the genetic code in two manners: having more than one tRNA (with a specific anti-codon) for a particular amino acid; and 'wobble' base-pairing, i.e. permitting non-standard base-pairing at the 3rd anti-codon position. Lineage: Bacteria; Pseudomonadati; Pseudomonadota; Gammaproteobacteria; Chromatiales. The record is from RNAcentral.